RNAcentral lists this ribosomal RNA (490 nucleotides) under uncultured bacterium. RNAcentral describes it as "partial 16S ribosomal RNA". It matches the Rfam family "Bacterial small subunit ribosomal RNA", at positions 30 to 507 of the family's 1533-position model. The record is from RNAcentral.
AUUGAACGCUGGCGGCAGGCCUAACACACGCAAGUCGAACGGUAACAGGAAGCAGCUUGCUGCUUCGCUGACGAGUGGCGGACGGGUGAGUAAUGUCUGGGAAACUGCCUGAUGGAGGGGGAUAACUACUGGAAACGGUAGCUAAUACCGCAUAACGUCGCAAGACCAAAGAGGGGGACCUUAGGGCCUCUUGCCAUCGGAUGUGCCCAGAUGGGAUUAGCUAGUAGGUGGGGUAACGGCUCACCUAGGCGACGAUCCCUAGCUGGUCUGAGAGGAUGACCAGCCAAACUGGAACUGAGAAACGGUCCAGACUCCUAAGGGAGGCAGCAGUGGGGAAUAUUGCACAAUGGGCGCAAGCCUGAUGCAGCCAUGCCGCGUGUAUGAAGAAGGCCUUCGGGUUGUAAAGUACUUUCAGCGGGGAGGAAGGGAGUAAAGUUAAUACCUUUGCUCAUUGACGUUACCCGCAGAAGAAGCACCGGCUAACUCCGUG